Molecule: small nucleolar RNA, 96 nt
Organism: Salvia miltiorrhiza (redroot sage)
Lineage: Eukaryota; Viridiplantae; Streptophyta; Magnoliopsida; Lamiales; Lamiaceae
Product: small nucleolar RNA snoR31
Exons: 1
Source: RefSeq, a predicted model, not a curated record
UUGAUUGGGAUGAAGCAAUAUUUUAAUUUCCAACACUUGGACUGAGAGGUAGGAAAUCUCACCUCUAGUGAUGCAAUAAUUUGCUACUGAAUCAUG